RNAcentral lists this long non-coding RNA (404 nucleotides) under Homo sapiens (human). RNAcentral describes it as "HSALNT0323603". The record is from RNAcentral. Lineage: Eukaryota; Metazoa; Chordata; Mammalia; Primates; Hominidae.
UGGCAGGAUGGCAGCAGCAGACACACAGGGUGGUUAAGAACAACAAACACAGGUAACAUCUGCUGAAGGCUUCUACAAGCUGAGCACUAACAGAGAAGAAAACUGAGGCAUAGAACAUUUGGGAAUGAAUCUAAGACUACACAUCUAGAAUAGCAGAGUUACAGGAAUGCAGAUGUGAUUCCUAUGGAUGAGGGUAACCUAGAGGCUAGAAGAACAAUAGGACAGAAGAAGCCUGGGUCCCUGAACAACCUUGUGGAGCAUAGACACCUACGUGGCCUGGACUGCCAGCUCACAAUGGGCCUCUCUGUGAGAGAAGGAAACUUCCCUCUUGUUUAAGCAACUGUGCUUUUGAGAAUCUCUUGGUCUAUACCCUAAUGAAUAAGGCCAUCAUAAAUGGAUAUCAA